This 507-nucleotide ribosomal RNA is filed under the name uncultured Glomeromycotina. RNAcentral describes it as "partial small subunit ribosomal RNA". It matches the Rfam family "Eukaryotic small subunit ribosomal RNA", at positions 591 to 1092 of the family's 1831-position model. The record is from RNAcentral. Lineage: Eukaryota; Fungi; Glomeromycota.
CCAAUAGCGUAUAUUAAAGUUGUUGCAGUUAAAAAGCUCGUAGUUGAAUUUCGGGAUUGGCGCAUCGGUCGUGCCUCACGGGGUAUGAACUGGUGCAGUCAAUUUCUCACCUUCUGGAGAACCGCGAUGUCCUUAAUUGGAUGCCGCGGGGAACCAGGACCUUUACUUUGAAAAAAUUAGAGUGUUUAAAGCAGGCAUUUUUGCUUGAAUACAUUAGCAUGGAAUAAUAAAAUAGGACGGCAUGGUUCUAUUUUGUUGGUUUCUAGGACCACCGUAAUGAUUAAUAGGGAUAGUUGGGGGCAUCAUUAUUCAAUUGUCAGAGGUGAAAUUCUUGGAUUUAUUGAAGACUAACUACUGCGAAAGCAUUUGCCAAGGAUGUUUUCAUUAAUCAAGAACGAAAGUUAGGGGAUCGAAGACGAUCAGAUACCGUCGUAGUCUUAACCAUAAACUAUGCCGACUAGGAAUCAGACGAUGUUAAUUUUUUAAUGACUCGUUUGGCACCUUACG